AAGGAAUAUUGGACAAUGGCGAAAGCCUGAUCCAGCGACACCGCGUGGGGGAAGAAGGCCCUCGGGUUGUAAACCCCUUUUCCCGGGGAAGAAUAAUGACGGUACCUGGGGAAUAAGCCCCGGCUAACUACGUGCCAGCAGCCGCGGUAAUACGUAGGGGGCGAGCGUUAUCCGGAUUUACUGGGCGUAAAGCGGGCGUAGGCGGCCUGUCAAGUCGGAUGUGAAAUCUCCCGGCUUAACUGGGAGGGUGCAUUCGAUACUGAUGGGCUAGAGUACAGCAGAGGGAAGUGGAAUUCCCGGUGUAGUGGUGAAAUGCGUAGAUAUCGGGAAGAACACUAGUGGCGAAGGCGGCUUCCUGGGCUGUAACUCACGCUGAGGUCCGAAGGCGUGGGUAGCAAACAGGAUUAGAUAYCCUGUAGUMAYGCUGUAAACGAUGGAUAAUAGGUAUAG
This 450-nucleotide ribosomal RNA is filed under the name uncultured Chloroflexota bacterium. RNAcentral describes it as "bacterial SSU rRNA". It matches the Rfam family "Bacterial small subunit ribosomal RNA", at positions 356 to 825 of the family's 1533-position model. Lineage: Bacteria; Bacillati; Chloroflexota. The record is from RNAcentral.